CUUCCCCUUCCCCUUGCCCAUGAGGGGGAGGGGGAGGCUACCGAUGUGGCCCCUUAUGGAGAAGGGAGGGCGUGAGGUGGCUGCCGUUCAGGGUAGCUCGCCAGCGUUCUAGGGACACUUCUGCCUGCGUGGGCUGGCAAUUAGCGGGUCAGCCUUCCGAGGGCAAGCGGUGCGGGUUCGAGUCCUGCCGGCGGGGGAUGCCCUGUGGCUUUUCCACGGGGACCGACCCCAGCGAUGUUCUUUCUUGCGGCAGCAUCAGAACGAAUGCGCACGUCAGAGAAAAAUAAAAACCUCUCGAUAAGGAAAGGAUAACCGUAGCCUCAGUGACGCAUAGGUAUUUCUUCAUGUGCAGCUCCACAGCAGCUACGGAAGAGAUCGACCUGCAGUUUCCGGAGUGAAAGAGCAUCUUGCGUCCAUUGCAGGAGGAGCAAACAUCACACUGCAGACCCAAAUGAAUGAGUGGUCAGGGGUGGACCAGUCACAGUGAUAUUCCGUCUGAAUGCAUCCUCAUGGGGUUGCAAAACAACUCAUGAAUAACAGCCUCCCCAGCCUCUGCAAGCAACCAAGUUGAGCUUUACCAAGGACGAGAGCACUCCAAAUGCUCCAGGCAGCCUAAGCCCAGUGCUCGGCUAGGCUCUGCGGUCCAGCUCAACAGGAAUUAGACUCAGGGUAGAGAAGAAUCUAACGGAGAAUGUCUGAAUAUUAAGCCUCCCCGUUUUUGGUGUGAUAUGAAAUGCAUUAUUCAGUACUCAAAAGUAGGACUACUCCAGUAAGUGCAGGAGCCAGAUGGGUCUCUGUCUGUUUUCUCAAGACUUUGCUUCCUGCACAAGGUUGGCUAGAACUCAUCUCUUUGAAGUCACCUCCAGAAAGGUCAUUUUAGCAACCAUCCUUUUGCUCACAAAUGUCAAGUCUGUGUUCCAACACAACACUAAAGGUCACAAAUGGGGAGGGGGAAUCAAAAGGGGAAAAGACAAUCAUUUCUCAUUAGAUAUUUAAAAGAUGUUUUAAAAAUUUAAAUCUGUCUGGGUUUCUAAAAACGAUAAGCAAUGUUCCAGUUUCAGCGUUCACUGAUGCAUGAACUGAGGGGGAAGGAAGAAUCUCCUUUGAGCGAAGCACAAGCAGCUCUUGAUUGACAAAUAAGACUCUGUCAAUCACACUCUGAAUUUUUUACCAAGCAUUUGGAAAUGAAACACAAACCAGUUUAGACACUGAACAGAAGGCAGUUUAUGGAAUUGGCAUAAAAGGAAAUUUAUCCACUUUCAGUAAUGGAACAGUUGUACAGUACUUGACAAUUAGGCUGAGAUGAAGACCAAUUUAAUGUUAUAUUGUAAUCUAUCAUCUAAAAUCUAACCCAAGAUAAACACAGCUACAGUAUUAAAAUAUUAUCUGUAAAAUCAUUUCCUACACAAAAUGCUGGACUUUCUAAAAAACAAAACAGUUUGAACAGGACUUUAAAAGCAGAGAUGGUUGAAAUAUUUCUGAUGCCUUUGGACCAAAAUACUCUUUCAGAGAAUCAUUGCCACUUCAAGAAUAAUGUUGCCCAAAUGGCUACAGGGGGUUUAAUUACAUCGUGACACUGCUUCUAUUGGCAAACCAUGUGCACUUGAGAGGCUGCUGAAAUUUUUCUGAUGUGUCAUUUUGAGGUUAAUUUGAAAGUUUCUGUUUGAGAGAAACUUCUGAGGAAUAUUGAGCUAAAUUUCUUGGUGAUGUGGAGUUUCAUUUCCCUCAUUUCCACCAAUUCUUACCUAUACUUGUAUUGCAACCUGAGUUUGGAAGGGGUUGUUCAAAAUAAAGUUCUCAAGAUAAUUCAGUGGAGAAAAGCCCCACUUUUGAUAAGACUGUAGAUUCCCCUCACAUGGAGCUGCAUCAUGGGAUGUAUGGGAAUAUCACAGGAAUGGAUUCCCAAUUGUGCAAUAGGAUGUCCUAUUCUUUGCACCCUUGUGCCUCCCAGAUCAGUUCUGCAGGUACUUCCACCCUCUGGAGCAUAUCUGGAGUGUGUGUAGGAGCUGUAUGGAGAGGAAGAAUCCAUGCUAUCCGCGGAUUCUGUUUGUUGGUAGGCAGACUUCAUUAGAUUCAGUCCUCUUAAUUUGCAACCAGGUUUAACCUAAACCAACAUUUUAUAGAAAAUGUGGACAAACAUGGGGUAGGGAAGAAUUCUAGUAGGUCUAGCAAAAUUGCCUGGUGGAGUUCUAUACUCCACCGUGAAUCAUAUUCUGCACCCUAUCGAUUCAAGCUCACAAAAUGUUAUUCUUCAUUUCUUUCCACUUCCAUGGACUCAUUCCUAUGUUACAUCAUUUAUCUCUUCUGGUGCAUUAGUACCACUUGUAGUGGCCACAGCUAUCCCAUCUGUAAAUUAUCCACACAUUUGUUCCUUGCAGAAGCUGCUAUAAGCCACUUCUACAAACCAAUAUUGGGUCUGCACAGCUGUCCAGCUUUCAGAUGCUGGAGUUAAGAUAGGAACUGGAUUUUUAGUAAGCAUUUUGGAAGUCUUUUAAGGACCUCUACUAAAAGCAGGAAGGGAAAAAAUAAGUGGGACGGUUAGGCCAGACUCAGUUAUAUCCAUAGAAAAAGAAGGUUAUGGUUCUGCUGGGAUGACCACACUUGAUCACUGAUUCUACCCCAUUAAGAAAUUAAUAGGGCACAAGCCCAGCA
This is a long non-coding RNA of Varanus komodoensis (Komodo dragon), 2652 nucleotides long. RefSeq lists it as uncharacterized. The transcript is spliced from 3 exons. Lineage: Eukaryota; Metazoa; Chordata; Lepidosauria; Squamata; Varanidae. The record is from RefSeq and is a predicted model, not a curated record.